AUGGACCCGAUGAUCGGCGUCAGCAGGAGCGACAUGCUCGCCGGCUUGGAGCGCGACGGCUUGGACCCGGGGACGCUGGACGCCGGCACAAACCUGCUGCUCCACGUCGUGUACGACUACCUCCCGGACCCGCCCGUCUCCCCCACCGCCACCCUCUCGCUCGCCGGCGCGUCCUGGGUCCCCGACGGCGUCGACCGCAUCAGCUGCCUCCCCGAUGUGGUCCUCCGCGACAUCAUCUCCCGCCUCCCCGCCAAGGACGCCGCGCGCACCGCCGCCCUCGCCUCGCGCUGGCGCCCCCUUUGGCGCUCGGUGCCCCUCACUCUCGUCGACAGCCACCUGCUCCCGGACGGCGGCGCGCGCGGGCAGCUCGUCAUCGGCGCUCCCUCUCCCCGCGCCGUCACCGCCGCGGUGUCCCGCGUCCUCGCGGCGCACCCGGGCCCCUUCCGCUGCGUCCACCUCACCCGCACCACCAUGGAGGAGCACCGGGGCGAGAUGUCGCGCUGGCUCGACAUCCUCGUCGCCAAGGGGGUCCACUGCUCCACCCUCACCCGCCUCUACCUCGGCGUCUGGAGGCUGCCGGACACCGCUGCCGUGCCGCGCGGCGCCAGAUUCCCCAAUCUCAAGGAGCUCGGUCUGUGCUUCUGUGUCAUGGAGGACCGUGAUCUGGCCUUCAUGCUUGAAAGAAGCCCCGUCCUGGAGUUCCUCGUCCUCAUGGGAAGCCAGACCGGAGUGCGCCUCCGCCUCGUCAGCCAAAGCCUGCGGUGUCUUCAGCUGGGCUUUACCUGCUUGGAGGACAUCGAAGUGGUGGAUGCCCCUCGCCUGGAGAGGCUCUUCCAGCGGGACACCGACGAUGCUUCCCUAACCUGGAGACGCUCCAUGUCCAGGAUCAAGAUUGGGCGUGCACCAAACCUGCGUGUGCUGGGAUAUCUUCAGCCAGGAGAGCAAGAGUUGGGGAUUGGAAACACCGUCAUCGUGGCUGGAACAAAGGGGAGCAUUGUCCCUAGUGUACAGAUUUUGGCCAUAGAGGUGCAGUUCGGUGUCCGCAAUGCUGUCAAGAAAGUGCCUGGUUUCCUCAGAUGCUUUCCUAACCUGGAGACGCUCCAUGUUCAGUCCAGCGUUGAUGAAGAGCCCACUGGCAAGGUGAACAUCAAGUUCUGGCAGGAGGGCGGCCCCAUUAAAUGUGUUGUGCAGAGCAUGAAGAAGGUGUUUUUCUACGAGUUCCGAGGGUCGAGAAGCGAGGUUGUUUUCCUCAAGUUCCUCGCGGAGAGAGGGCGGGUGCUGGAGCAGAUGGUUGUUGUGGUAGCCAGCGAAUGUUUCUCUUCGGGGUCGGGUUAUGUGAAUGCCAAACUGAAGCCUCUGAUCAGUGCAAAAUGGUCGAGUAAAGGUUGCAAACUGCAGCUCUUCAAGAGCCCAGCCGGUGAGGGGUCCGGUCCAGCUUACUCACACGAACUAGCUUCUGAUUUUGGGUUUCCUGACCCUUUUGACCUCAAGUACUACUAUAAAGCAGAAAGGAUCCCUGUAAGUUAA
RNAcentral lists this ribosomal RNA (1527 nucleotides) under Triticum aestivum (bread wheat). Its description in RNAcentral is "partial small subunit ribosomal RNA". The record is from RNAcentral. Lineage: Eukaryota; Viridiplantae; Streptophyta; Magnoliopsida; Poales; Poaceae.